Molecule: ribosomal RNA, 118 nt
Filed under: Pteropus alecto (black flying fox)
Lineage: Eukaryota; Metazoa; Chordata; Mammalia; Chiroptera; Pteropodidae
Source: RNAcentral
GUUUACGGCCAUGCCACCCUGAACAAGCCCAAAAGCUAAGCAGGGUCAGUCCUGAUUGGAAGCUAAGCAGGGUUGGGCCUGGUGGGAGAACACCUAGGAAGACCAGGUGCUGUAGGCA